RNAcentral lists this ribosomal RNA (254 nucleotides) under uncultured bacterium. RNAcentral describes it as "partial 16S ribosomal RNA". It matches the Rfam family "Bacterial small subunit ribosomal RNA", at positions 524 to 776 of the family's 1533-position model. The record is from RNAcentral.
UACGGGGGGAGCAAGCGUUGUUCGGAUUUACUGGGCGUAAAGGGCGCGUAGGCGGCCACUGCAAGUCAGUUGUGAAAUCUCCGGGCUUAACCCGGAAAGGUCAACUGAUACUGCAGGGCUAGAGUGCAGAAGGGGCAACUGGAAUUCUCGGUGUAGCGGUGAAAUGCGUAGAUAUCGAGAGGAACACCUGCGGCGAAGGCGGGUUGCUGGGCUGACACUGACGCUGAGACGCGAAAGCGUGGGGAGCAAACAGG